AUGCUCACUUUGGCAGCACAUAGGCUAAAAUUGUAACAAUACAGAGGAGAUGAGCAGGGCCCCAGCACAAGGAUGACAGCCAAAUUUGUGAAAUGUUCCUUAAUUUU
This 107-nucleotide small nuclear RNA is filed under the name Catagonus wagneri (Chacoan peccary). The record is from RNAcentral. Lineage: Eukaryota; Metazoa; Chordata; Mammalia; Artiodactyla; Tayassuidae.